RNAcentral lists this ribosomal RNA (445 nucleotides) under uncultured Treponema sp. Its description in RNAcentral is "bacterial SSU rRNA". It matches the Rfam family "Bacterial small subunit ribosomal RNA", at positions 354 to 794 of the family's 1533-position model. The record is from RNAcentral. Lineage: Bacteria; Pseudomonadati; Spirochaetota; Spirochaetia; Treponematales; Treponemataceae.
UGAGGGAAUAUUGGGUCAAUGGGGCGGAAGCCUGAACCAGCCAUGCCGCGUGAAGGAAUAAGGCCCUAUGGGUCGUAAACUUCUUUUGGCGGGGAGCAAUAAGGUCUACGUGUAGACCGAUGAGAGUACUCGUUGAAUAAGCAACGGCUAAUUACGUGCCAGCAGCCGCGGUAACACGUAAGUUGCGAGCGUUGUUCGGAAUUAUUGGGCGUAAAGGGUAUGUAGGCGGUUCUGCAAGUCUGGUGUGAAAUGCCGGGGCUCAACCCCGGAACUGCGUUGGAAACUGCAGGACUUGAAUCGCUGAGGGGCAGCCAGAAUUCCAGGUGUAGGGGUGAAAUCUGUAGAUAUCUGGAAGAAUACCAAUGGCGAAGGCAGGCUGCCAGCAGAUGAUUGACGCUGAGGUACGAAGGUGCGGGGAGCAAACAGGAUUAGAUACCCUGGUAGU